This 497-nucleotide ribosomal RNA is filed under the name uncultured bacterium. RNAcentral describes it as "partial 16S ribosomal RNA". It matches the Rfam family "Bacterial small subunit ribosomal RNA", at positions 28 to 507 of the family's 1533-position model. The record is from RNAcentral.
GAUGAACGCUGGCGGCGUGCCUAAUACAUGCAAGUCGAGCGAACAGACGAGGAGCUUUCUCCUCUGACGUUAGCGGCGGACGGGUGAGUAACACGUGGAUAACCUACCUAUAAGACUGGGAUAACUUCGGGAAACCGGAGCUAAUACCGGAUAAUAUAUCGAACCGCAUGGUUCAAUAGUGAAAGACGGUUUUGCUGUCACUUAUAGAUGGAUCCGCGCCGCAUUAGCUAGUUGGUAAGGUAACGGCUUACCAAGGCAACGAUGCGUAGCCGACCUGAGAGGGUGAUCGGCCACACUGGAACUGAGACACGGUCCAGACUCCUACGGGAGGCAGCAGUAGGGAAUCUUCCGCAAUGGGCGAAAGCCUGACGGAGCAACGCCGCGUGAGUGAUGAAGGUCUUCGGAUCGUAAAACUCUGUUAUUAGGGAAGAAAAAAUGUGUAAGUAACUAUGCACGUCUUGACGGUACCUAAUCAGAAAGCCACGGCUAACUACGUG